GGUGGUUCAGUGGUAGAGUGCUUGCCUUGCAUGCAUGAGGUCCUGAGUUUGAUUCCUCAGCACCA
Molecule: transfer RNA, 65 nt
Filed under: Dipodomys ordii (Ord's kangaroo rat)
Lineage: Eukaryota; Metazoa; Chordata; Mammalia; Rodentia; Heteromyidae
Rfam family: tRNA
About the family: Transfer RNA (tRNA) molecules are approximately 80 nucleotides in length.
Source: Rfam by way of RNAcentral